This is a long non-coding RNA of Harpia harpyja (harpy eagle), 446 nucleotides long. RefSeq lists it as uncharacterized. Lineage: Eukaryota; Metazoa; Chordata; Aves; Accipitriformes; Accipitridae. The record is from RefSeq and is a predicted model, not a curated record. The transcript has 2 exons.
CACAGAGGAAGUGCUUUACUACAUCACUGAACCCUAGAGUAAGCCUCAACGUAUUUUAUAACAUGGAGCAGCCAUUUUGGUUGUUAUUUUUUGGCUAACCCAACAGCAAAAUUUCAUGACCUUUUUCUUCUCCUCUUGCAUCCCUAGGGUGGUCUUCAUUCUGUACUAUACCACACGUUUCUCUUUGUUUUGCAUCUUGAUCUGGACCCAAGUCUUUAAGCAGGGAAUAUAAGCCAAAGACUUGAGAUUUUUCUCAGGUCUUGAUCCUCAGAGAAUCAGCUUGGUGUUCUCUGUUGAAAUGCUCCUUUGGUGAGGUACAGGAUGCUUUAAGAUGCUUGGCUACUUCUGGAAAUGCAGUACAUUUUCUUUGGAUUUAUUUUGUCUUUAUGGUUAGUAGUGUUUAAAGGCAUGCGAGUGAUUAAAGUGGUAUCCUGGAAAUUGGGAAA